Molecule: ribosomal RNA, 484 nt
Filed under: uncultured bacterium
Lineage: Bacteria
Description: bacterial SSU rRNA
Rfam family: Bacterial small subunit ribosomal RNA
Source: RNAcentral
AUUGAACGCUGGCGGCAUGCCUUACACAUGCAAGUCGAACGGCAGCACGGACUUCGGUCUGGUGGCGAGUGGCGAACGGGUGAGUAAUGCAUCGGAACGUGCCAUUGAGUGGGGGAUAACGUAGCGAAAGUUGCGCUAAUACCGCAUAUUCUGUGAGCAGGAAAGCAGGGGACCGCAAGGCCUUGCGCUCUUUGAGCGGCCGAUGUCAGAUUAGCUAGUUGGUGAGGUAAAGGCUUACCAAGGCGACGAUCUGUAGCGGGUCUGAGAGGAUGAUCCGCCACACUGGAACUGAGACACGGUCCAGACUCCUACGGGAGGCAGCAGUGGGGAAUUUUGGACAAUGGGGGCAACCCUGAUCCAGCCAUGCCGCGUGAGUGAAGAAGGCCUUCGGGUUGUAAAGCUCUUUCGGCCGGGAAGAAAUCGCAUGGGCCAAUACCCUGUGUGGAUGACGGUACCGGAAUAAGAAGCACCGGCUAACUACGUG